This 238-nucleotide long non-coding RNA is filed under the name Homo sapiens (human). Its description in RNAcentral is "LHRI_LNC1334.1". The record is from RNAcentral. Lineage: Eukaryota; Metazoa; Chordata; Mammalia; Primates; Hominidae.
GGGAAAGAAAUCUUGAGUAGGUGUCUCAGGUGAAGAACUUUGGAAAGAUACGAGGAACUUCUUAGAAAUGGGAGUAGGAGCACCAGAAGGAAGGUAGGAGGAAUGCCAAAGCAAAGCUUAACCGAUUUCAGAAUUUUGUCAAGUCUCUGGAUUGCUUGGUUUUUUUAUACUCUAGGACUGACACUUAGUAUAUGUUUAUUCAUGCACUGUAGAUACAGUAGGCUUUAUGGGGUAGGGG